This 126-nucleotide unclassified non-coding RNA is filed under the name soil metagenome. RNAcentral's name for it is "partial internal transcribed spacer 1". The record is from RNAcentral.
AAGAAUUUAAAGAGUGCACUUCAUUGUGGCUCGACAUUUUCUACCAUUCACCCUAGUGCACCGUAAUACCUUUUUUUAUUAGACUCUACAGAGUUAAUGAAUGUAACACUUUUUUAUAAAGAAAUA